This 607-nucleotide ribosomal RNA is filed under the name Salmonella enterica subsp. enterica serovar Enteritidis. RNAcentral describes it as "partial 23S ribosomal RNA". It matches the Rfam family "Bacterial large subunit ribosomal RNA", at positions 24 to 596 of the family's 2925-position model. Lineage: Bacteria; Pseudomonadati; Pseudomonadota; Gammaproteobacteria; Enterobacterales; Enterobacteriaceae. The record is from RNAcentral.
GUGGAUGCCCUGGCAGUCAGAGGCGAUGAAGGGCGUACUAAUCUGCGAUAAGCGCCGGUAAGGUGAUAUGAACCGUUAUAACCGGCGAUACCCGAAUGGGGAAACCCAGUGUGAUUCGUCACACUAUCAUUAACUGAAUCCAUAGGUUAAUGAGGCGAACCGGGGGAACUGAAACAUCUAAGUACCCCGAGGAAAAGAAAUCAACCGAGAUUCCCCCAGUAGCGGCGAGCGAACGGGGAGGAGCCCAGAGCCUGAAUCAGCAUGUGUGUUAGUGGAAGCGUCUGGAAAGGCGCGCGAUACAGGGUGACAGCCCCGUACACAAAAGCGCAUGUGCUGUGAGCUCGAUGAGUAGGGCGGGACACGUGGUAUCCUGUCUGAAUAUGGGGGGACCAUCCUCCAAGGCUAAAUACUCCUGACUGACCGAUAGUGAACCAGUACCGUGAGGGAAAGGCGAAAAGAACCCCGGCGAGGGGAGUGAAAAAGAACCUGAAACCGUGUACGUACAAGCAGUGGGAGCCCCACCACCAAAGCAUUUGCUGUACCGCGUUGACGGAGCGAAGCGACGUCAAACCGAUAAAACAGCAGUGUAAAGUGAGCCGCAGGGCGC